ACGGGUGAGUAACGCGUAGGCAACCUGCCCCUUGCAGAGGGAUAGCCAUUGGAAACGAUGAUUAAAACCUCAUAAUACCGGAGCAUCACAUGUUGAACCGGUCAAAGAUUUAUCGGCAAGGGAUGGGCCUGCGUCUGAUUAGCUGGUUGGUGGGGUAACGGCCUACCAAGGCGACGAUCAGUAGCCGACCUGAGAGGGUGAUCGGCCACAUUGGGACUGAGACACGGCCCAAACUCCUACGGGAGGCAGCAUG
This 253-nucleotide ribosomal RNA is filed under the name uncultured bacterium. RNAcentral's name for it is "partial 16S ribosomal RNA". It matches the Rfam family "Bacterial small subunit ribosomal RNA", at positions 102 to 353 of the family's 1533-position model. The record is from RNAcentral.